AACGGCGAGUGAAGCGGCAAAAGCUCAAAUUUGAAAUCUGGCCUCCUCCGGGGGCCCGAGUUGUAAUUUGCAGAGGAUGCUUCGGGUGCGGCCCCCGUCUAAGUUCCUUGGAACAGGACGUCAGUGUGGGUGUGAAUCCCGUCUUGGGCGGGCGGCCCGCGCCCGUGUGAAGCUCCUUCGACGAGUCGAGUUGUUUGGGAAUGCAGCUCUAAGCGGGUGGUAAAUUUCAUCUAAAGCUAAAUACUGGCCGGAGACCGAUAGCGCACAAGUAGAGUGAUCGAAAGGUUAAAAGCACCUUGAAAAGGGAGUUAAACAGCACGUGAAAUUGUUGAAAGGGAAGCGCUUGCGGCCAGACUCGGGGGCGGGGUUCAGCGGGCGCUCGUCGCCCGUGCACUCCCCGCGCCCCGGGCCAGCAUCAGUUUCGACGGCCGGUCAAAGGCCCCCGGAAUGUGUCGUCUCUAGGGACGUCUUAUAGCCGGGGGUGCAAUGCGGCCCGUCGGGACUGAGGAACGCGCUCCGGCUCGGAUGCUGGCGUAAUGGCCGUAAGCGGCCCGUCUUGAAACACGGACCAAGGAGUCUAACAUCCACGCGAGUGUUCGGGUGUCAAACCCGUGCGCGCAGUGAAAGCGAACGGAGGUGGGAGCCUUUGGGCGCACCAUCGACCGAUCCUGAAGUCUUCGGAUGGAUUUGAGUAGGAGCGUGGCCGUUGGGACCCGAAAGAUGGUGAACUAUGCCUGAAUAGGGUGAAGCCAGAGGAAACUCUGGUGGAGGCUCGCAGCGGUUCUGACGUGCAAAUCGAUCGUCAAAUUU
Molecule: ribosomal RNA, 810 nt
Filed under: Trichophyton benhamiae
Lineage: Eukaryota; Fungi; Ascomycota; Eurotiomycetes; Onygenales; Arthrodermataceae
Description: eukaryotic LSU rRNA
Rfam family: Eukaryotic large subunit ribosomal RNA
Source: RNAcentral